UUUUGGUACAUUUGUAAUAAUGUUUCAGAGUUAAGUAGCUGAGUAGAUGUGUCCUUUCUCAUUAUUAGAUGUGAGAUUGCUCUCUCUCUCUCUUUCUCUCUCUCUGUCUCUCUCUCCUCCCCCCCCUCUUUCGUUUGUUUGUUUUCUUGUAAGCAAUGAAACGGGCGUAACCUAAACACAUCUUCAGUGGCUUCGAAAGGAAAAAUUGACCCCAUCCCCACAACCUAAAACUAGACAGGAUACUCGCUCUUCUUCUCUCUGCCCUUUCUUUAAUUUUUUUCUGUCAUUUUCAUUUUAACUUUUUUAUUUGUCGAUGAUGUGUGUCCAUAGGCUUAACAAAAAGGCAGAUUUUAUGGGCCUUGAGAAAAGUACCUCCAUACCAUACUUCUCUUGCGGGCCGUAAUUCUCUCUCUCUCUCUCUCUCUCUUUCUCUUUUGAAUAAAUAUCAAAUUUCUUGUACUUUGAAUUAUUUCUUGCUUUCUCAAACCUAUAAUAUCUCUUUUUGAUCUAUUUUUGAUCAGUAGGUCCAAUUCCUUCCCUUUUUUAAAUGUUUAGAAAGCUCGACACUGUCAUUCUGUUCAUAUUGGGUUCCAAACAUGUCAGUCUGAAUGAGAAUGAGGAUAACAAAAAUUAGAGAAUUCUCAUGGUGAAAUGUACCUCUUCGGGGUAAUUUAAACUGCCAACCCAAUGAAAAUUCAAUAGGGGUAGGCAUAUCACUUGUUAUUGGGAAUUUUUUACAAGAAUCAGAACACCAAAUGGGCACAUCUUCGUUAUAGAAUUAACCUGUAUCUUAACAAUUAUUUAGGGAAAGGAGGAGAGUUCUGAUUCUUCUUUUCUCUUUCCAUGAUUGUUUUUUUUUCAUUUUGCUUUUUUAACUGCAG
This 881-nucleotide long non-coding RNA is filed under the name Elaeis guineensis (African oil palm). RNAcentral describes it as "long non-coding RNA (EGUI_LNC015793)". Lineage: Eukaryota; Viridiplantae; Streptophyta; Magnoliopsida; Arecales; Arecaceae. The record is from RNAcentral.